RNAcentral lists this ribosomal RNA (253 nucleotides) under uncultured bacterium. RNAcentral describes it as "partial 16S ribosomal RNA". It matches the Rfam family "Bacterial small subunit ribosomal RNA", at positions 524 to 776 of the family's 1533-position model. The record is from RNAcentral.
UACGUAGGGUGCGAGCGUUAAUCGGAAUUACUGGGCGUAAAGCGUGCGCAGGCGGCUUCGCAAGUCAGACGUGAAAGCCCCGGGCUUAACCUGGGAAUGGCGUUUGAAACUACGGAGCUGGAGUGUGGCAGAGGGAGGUAGAAUUCCACGUGUAGCGGUGAAAUGCGUAGAUAUCGGGAGGAACACCAGAGGCGUAAGCGGCUUUCUAGGCGAUUACUGACGCUGAUGUACGAAAGCGUGGGGAGCAAACCGG